AAUCGAAGGGUUGCAGGUUCAAUUCCUGUCCGUUUCAGAAGCGGUGGCUCAAUGGUAGAGCUUUCGACUCCAAU
RNAcentral lists this transfer RNA (74 nucleotides) under Kluyveromyces dobzhanskii CBS 2104. RNAcentral's name for it is "tRNA-Trp". Lineage: Eukaryota; Fungi; Ascomycota; Saccharomycetes; Saccharomycetales; Saccharomycetaceae. The record is from RNAcentral.